ACUUUGUAAGCAGAGUGCUCAAAGAACUACGGUGGCUUGAAAUACAGUGGGUGGGUGUCCCGCAGGGGAGUGUGGUUAAAGAAGCAUUUGUGGGGUAGUUCUUAGUACGUAAGCGCCAUGGAUGGCGAAUCGUGCAUGCUGCUACUAAGAACCAGCAGUAUCUUUUGAAGAUUUUCUACCUCCAGCUC
Molecule: non-coding RNA, 188 nt
Organism: Glossina pallidipes
Lineage: Eukaryota; Metazoa; Arthropoda; Insecta; Diptera; Glossinidae
Source: Rfam